UGCUCGAGGGCUGAGAGAGAGCUGGCCCUCUUCUUGAGGGCAGCCGCCGCCGCCAUCCGUCGGUUCUGCGGCACUCGGCGACCUGCAAAAUGGCGAGGCGUUAAUUCGGCGCCACAAGUACGAAGAGCAUCACUGUCAACAGAGAACGCGCCGACUACUGCUGCCCCCUGGUUGGUGUUUGAUAUCAUGUAUGCUUGGGAGAUGUUACUGGCUGCCGCGACUCAUGCUGACCUCAAGCACCCUUCCGUGGCCCCUGUCUGCAAGGGAGACAGCUCAAGGGCAACAAAACAAAGAAAUCAACAAAAAAUGCUCGCCAGGCGCUCCUCCAACAAGACGAGACAGUGUAAGGAGGGGGGCAGUGAUUGAUGUCAAGGUGUUCGGCGUUACCUGCGUCAGCGUUCCCGAGGCCGUCAGAAGGACAGUAGGCUGGAUGACCUGCGCUAAUUAGACGGACUGCGUGUCAAGGUUUCUCUUCUGAUUGAUCGUCAUGCCCAGCGGGUACUCGCCGUGCAGCAGUGACCAGGCGAUGGUGUCCAUCUCAGCCCGGAACUUUGCCAAUCGUAAGCGUAGCUGGCCUUGUAACUUUGCUGCCAUCUCGCCGGAC
This is a long non-coding RNA of Eriocheir sinensis (Chinese mitten crab), 604 nucleotides long. RefSeq lists it as uncharacterized. Lineage: Eukaryota; Metazoa; Arthropoda; Malacostraca; Decapoda; Varunidae. The transcript is spliced from 6 exons. The record is from RefSeq and is a predicted model, not a curated record.